UCUUUCAAAUUAUCGUUCUUU
This 21-nucleotide non-coding RNA is filed under the name Caenorhabditis elegans. The record is from RNAcentral. Lineage: Eukaryota; Metazoa; Nematoda; Chromadorea; Rhabditida; Rhabditidae.